CAAAAUCAUUCUUUGGUCUUUUUAUUAAGGGUUUCAAAAAUCAGUGAAAAAGGGAGUUAUUCCCAUCCUACCCCAUUCCAGUAUGUUUAUUGUAUAUUUAUCUUGUCACAGGAUGAGCUCGAAUGCAACGCUGGGAAGUUCUGGGGGGAAGUGUCCCCUUAACUCUGCCAUUGAACACCAAGGAUCAGACGCCCCACAGGAGAGCACGCAUGGGUAAAAGCAUGAGCUCUUCCAAGAACAAUAUGAGAAAAAAGUUCUACAAUCAAAGCAGGUAUCAGGUGCUGUGGAAGAGCAGAAGAUUUGCCACUCACUUUGCUUCAGGUUGGAAGGUUUUCUGGAGGAAGGUUGCAUUGGAGAGGAGUCUUGGAAGGUGAGCCAGAGCUUGCCAGGUAGGGAAGGUGGGUGGAAGGAG
This 412-nucleotide long non-coding RNA is filed under the name Homo sapiens (human). RNAcentral's name for it is "non-protein coding lnc-MYLIP-1:1". The record is from RNAcentral. Lineage: Eukaryota; Metazoa; Chordata; Mammalia; Primates; Hominidae.